Molecule: long non-coding RNA, 1407 nt
Organism: Dendrobium catenatum
Lineage: Eukaryota; Viridiplantae; Streptophyta; Magnoliopsida; Asparagales; Orchidaceae
Exons: 2
Source: RefSeq, a predicted model, not a curated record
UUUUUCACCUUGAUCUCUUGAUCUUUCAGUACGCAGCGCUUUUUUAGGGUUUAGUAAUUAUUUGUGCGGGGGUCAUGGUUUAGGAUCGUGUUGAUGCAUUGAGUAUGGAUGUGCAGUGGUUUGAUAUACUAGAUCUAAACGAGUUUGAUGCUUGUUUUCAUGGAUAUUCAUGGUUAAUUAUUUGGUUUGAUUGUUGAGAUAGGAUGCUUAGUGGAUUACUUGCGGUUAUAUCAUUGAUUCUGGUUCCAAUUAAUGCAUCGUUACUGUGUCCUAAACUUUGAAUUGGUUGGGAUUGUUAUGGGUUCCCAAUGUAUAAACUGAAAUUUACAGGAAGAUUAUUUGUGUUUCUCUUGUUUAAAAACCAGAAUAAAUCACGUACUUUGAAUCUGCCUCUACAGAGUCGUUUGUUCAACGCCCAGAUAAAUUAGGUACUAUGAAGCUGCUACUUUGAUCAGAGUUAUCAGCGUUGAAAACAGUGUACAUAUUGCCAGGACUUUGUUGGAGUGCAUAUGCUACAACAUGCAAUGCUGAUAUAUCUAAUUUUUAUGAUUAUUUUCUUCUGUAAAUUUACUUUGAAACUGUUAUUUGGAAAACUUUAAAGUUGUUUGUACUUUAUGUAGUAUUAUGCUCUUCAACAAAGAGAACUAACGGACUAAUUUCGGAGAUGAGCUAUGGUAGGAGCAGGAUAUAGGUCCAUUGGAGGUGCCAUUGAGCUUUAUUGGGCAGGUGACAUUUGUGUUGACUGCAGCACAUUCAAUUAAUUCAAUUGGAGUUAUGUAACAUAUACAACUAAAGUGCCAAUUGACUCCAUAUGCUUCAUGGAGAACUAGAGAAAACAGCAUUUUUCCUAUGACUUUCUCUCUCACUCGCAGAGAGAAUAAAAUGUAAUUUGCCCCAACUAUCACUAUCCUUUGGAAAUUCAAAGAGCUAUCGAAGGAAAGGAAUACAGCUCUCCCUUGGCCAAGGGAGAGGGCAUUGAAGAGAAGAAAAUAUCCUUCGUUGCAAGUAUGCUUGCUUCCUGUGCAAGCUUGGCUCUUCGACUAAGGAGGCAAGUUAGGAAAGCCGACCACCACAUAAAACGUAAGCAAGCACUUGGGUGUUGUUGCCAACAACCAGAUUUGAGUUAUGUCAUAAGACUUUAUUUAGAAAUUGAUUAAAUCUUCUACUAAAUGCGUUGGGAAUCAACAUAUUGUGGUGGUGUUGGAAGCAACAUGGGAAGGACCUCUAGUUGGCUUUCCUGGUAUGUUGUAUGUUUAAGCUUUGUAGGCUGAAGCUUAUUAUCUUCUGAUUUUUAUGUUACAUAUACAAACUUAUGCUACAACUUUGGAUUAAAACAAUUUGUAAUCAUGAAUUCUUCCCAAUCUAUGAAAUUAGAGACUAAGCUUCCCAGGGCUAUAUUAAGCCUUA